CAAACAAAUGAAUUCCUUCACCAUCUUCAUUUGGAUUCUGGGAGUUUUUAUUCCAGAAUCCAGAGGAGUUACUGUAACUCAGAGUAAAGCUGAACCUGUUUCUGAGGGUCAAAAUGUAAAUAUAAAGUGUACAACUAAUCCUGGAAUAUAUAGCUUGGGUUUAUCUUGGUAUCAGCAGAAACCUGGAGAAGCUCCUAAACUCCUCAUUACUGCAGUAGAUAGUCGUUAUGGUGACACUCCAGAUCGAUUCAGUGGAGAUGGAACAUCUGGUGGUACAGAUUUCACUCUGAGCAUCAGUGGAGUUCAGGCUGAAGAUGCAGGACAUUAUUACUGUGUGAGUUUUCACUGCUCAGUAGAUGAAGACAAUGAUUGUGUGGGUGACUAUGUGUUCACACAGUGAUAAAGUCUCGUACAAAAACCUCCAUCAGUCAGACUGACAAAGAUACACCUGACACACACACACACACCGUAUUGGGAAAUAUAAAUCUUAUUAUUUGAAUUAUUAUUUUACACUUUUUAGAAUUUUGCAAUUUAGAUUUUAAAUUUAGGCGAAAAA
This is a non-coding RNA of Triplophysa rosa, 556 nucleotides long. NCBI's taxonomy places the organism in Eukaryota, Metazoa, Chordata, Actinopteri, Cypriniformes, Nemacheilidae. The record is from the annotation of a RefSeq genome assembly.